This 8411-nucleotide long non-coding RNA is filed under the name Salvia miltiorrhiza (redroot sage). RNAcentral's name for it is "long non-coding RNA (SMIL_LNC006269)". Lineage: Eukaryota; Viridiplantae; Streptophyta; Magnoliopsida; Lamiales; Lamiaceae. The record is from RNAcentral.
GACGUAUAUGAUAUUAUGAUGAUAUAUAUAUAGAAGUUUUACAGUUUUGGCGUGCACAGGUUAUUUAAAUAAAACUCCUGUGUGAUGCUUGAGAUGGCAAGUUCAAUAUAUAGCUCUAAGAGCAAACUUUAAAGUUAUUUCGGCAUGUGACCAUUGAGUACCUUUUUAGUACUCAGCCCUGCAUAUGUUUCUAAAUGUGCAGGUUAAGCUGUGAUGCAGAUGGAGGCGAGCAGAGCAAAGCUUUUGAAGUAUAAGUAUUAAAUUAGGCUCAGGAUUCCAUGUCUUCAUACAUGUAAUCCACUUAAGUAUUUCCGCUGCAACACUUAGUGUAUUUUACUUUAUUGAUGUGUUGUAUAGAUUUUAAAUCAAUAGCUUUGAGAAUUAUGUCACUGGAAAAUUUGACAACUUGUCGUUGUGUUAUUGUGAGUUGUCUGCCUAAGCAGUUUAGAAAAGAUUGCUCAUGAGUUUUAAAAGUGAUUUGCUCAUGAUUAUUCAAUACUAAAGUAAUUCAUCGUUAAAGAGGGUUCAUUAUUAUUAUUUAAAUCUCUUUCCUUUUUCAUUUUCUUUCUCCUUUUUCCCAGUCACACCUUUCCCCGGCUUAACUAUACACUAUAUUAGGCCGGGCUGUGACAAAGUGGUAUCAGAGCAGGUCGUUUGCUCUGAGCCUAAAUAUUCCUUUGAGUCUAGUCUAAAUUUGAAUCUUUGGACUAGUGUGAGUAAUAUAGUAAAAGCUCUGCUCUCCAUCUCAUCCAACUUAGCCAGGUACGGAUUUUCAGAGUUUUGAAGUAGCAUGUUACAUUUUUAAACAAGUUUUAGAUAUGAGUUGCAGUUUUGCAAGUAUUAGUAUGAUGGAAACUUAUAUAUUUUAAAAUGAGCAUGGACAACAUGAGUUAUUUAUGAGUAUCCUCUGCCUAUACGAACUUUUGAGAUUUGAAUGGAUAAAAGUGUUAUUCAUAUUUUAAUAUUUGUGUUUUGAUAUGUGGAUGGAGAUAUAGAAAGUUUGAUGAUACAAUAAUGACGUAUAUCAGUCGCGAUGUAACCUAGUACUAGUAGUGAUGUUAUACUAGUUACGGCACCACAAUUAAUACUAAGAGCUUUUUGCAACAUAUAUUCCUAUCUUUCGUAUGAGAACUCAUUGAGGCAAAUUUUCUCAUGAUAUGAAGUGAUCAAAGUGGUCAUNUGAGAAGGAGGCCUACUUCUCAACACUCAGAGUUAUUAUGAUGCGUAGAUAUGGUACAUACAUGUUAAUUGUCAGCAGACGUAUAUGAUGUUAUGAUGAUUAUAGAGAAGUUUUUAUAGUUUUGCAUGCACAGGUUAUUUAAAUAAAACCCAUGUGUGAUGCUUGAGAUGGCAAGUUCAAUAUAUAGCUCUAAGAGCAAGUUUAAAGUUAUUUCGGCAUGUAACCACUGAGUGCUAUUUGAUACUCAGCCCUGCGUAUGUUUCUAAAUAUGCAGGUUAAGCUGUGAUGUAGAUGGAAGCAAGCAGAGCAAAGCCUUCAGAGUAUAUUAAAUUAGGCUCAGGAUUCCAUGUCUUCAUACAUGUAAUCCACAUGAAUUAUCCGCUGCAACACUCAGUCUAUUCUACUUUGUUGAUGUGUUGUAACAAUAUUUUUAAAUCAAUAGCUUUGAGUAAUUAUAAUCACUUGAAAGUUAGACAACUUGUCGUUGUGUAUUGUAAGUUGUCUACUCAUGAGUUUUAAAAGUGAUUGCUUAUGAUUAUCCAAUAUUAAAGUAAUUCAUCGUUAAAGAGGGUUCAUUAUUAUUAUUUAAAUCUCUUUUAUUUUUCAUUUUCUUUUUCCCUUCCCCAGUCACACAUUUUCCCUGACUUAACUGUUGUUAGUUUAGGUCGGGCUGUGACAAAGUGGUAUCAGAGCAGGUUGUUUGCUCUGAGCCUAAACAUUCCCUUGAGUCUAGUCUAAAUUUGAAUCUUUAGACUAAAAUGAGUAAUAUAGUAAAAGCUCUGCGCUCCAUCUCAUCCAGCAUAGCCAGGUACUGAUUUUCAGAGUUUUAAAGAAUCAAUUUACAGUUUGAAAGAGUUUGAGUUGUUAAUAUUGCAACUUUGCAAGAAAGUUAUUAAUAUUGCAAUUUUGCAAGAAUCUAGUAUUUGGAGAAGUUUACAUGUUUACAAGUGAGUGAAUAUGAAUAACAUGAGUUAUUUAUGAGUAUCCUCUGCCUAUACGAACUUUUGAGAUUUGAAUGAAUAAAAGUGUUAUUCAUAUAUUAAUAUUUAUAUUUUGAUAUGUGGAUGGAGAUAUAUAUAGACAGAUUGAUGAUACAAUAAUGAUGUAUAUCAGUCGCGAUGUAACCUAGUACUAGUAGUGAUGUUAUACAGUUAGGGCACCACAAUCAGUACUAAGAGCUUUUUGCAACAUAUAUUCCUAUCUUUCGUAUGAGAACUCAUUGAGGCAAAUUUUCUCAUGAUAUGAAGUGAUCAGAGUGGUCAUUUACUAGGUUAUUAUUGAGCUUUACUUGCUUAGAUGAUUGAAUUUUUGUGUAUGAGUUUUAUAACUUAGUUGGAUUAUAGUUAAGUAGGAGUUUGACUUUACUGAUGGGAUGAAAGCUCAAUUUUGGAGAUUUUGUGUAUUUACUCGGCAUGAUGUCUCAAAGAAGCAGUGGAAAUCUGCCAUCCGCCAUGUGAAUAAUUUAGAGAACUACUCGUCCCCAUCAACUUGAAAGAAGAAUAGCAGAAGUUUUUCAUCGUCAAGAUCCCUUUAUUGCGAGUUAAGCGGUAGAGUUUCAAAGAGGCAGUAGAGUUUUACGAGUUUCGCUUCCUUAGAUGCAAUGAUCAAGAGCGCCUUCUUGUAUGUUAUUUCAACUACAAGGAUCGACUUAUNAGUAGUGGGAGACGAAGCAGAAGAUAUAUACCCUCGAGCGAUUAGAGAAUCUUAUUUGGGGCCAGUUCACAGAAGUUUUUAUGAAGAAUAUGUUUCCAGAAGCCGUCGUCAGCAAAAAGGAGACGUAAUUUAACAAUUUAAAGCAAUAGAAGAAGACAGUAGCUGAAUGUGAUCAAGGGUUUUGUGAUAUAGCUGGAUAUAUGCCUUAUAAGGCUGACACAUAUAUUAGUUGUAACUUUUGAUAGAGUUUUGAUGUAGUGCCUUUGCUUGUUGGCAAACCAAAUAUUCUUUCAGCUAUUGCAAGCCAAACAUUCCUUCAACUAAUGAAGAUAUCUCUUUUCCAUUUCAUCCCUCCCACCAAAAGUUUUGUUUGAAAUCUUGAUAUAAUUUAGUGCUUCUGUGGUGGGCAGUAUAUAGCGUAUCAUGAGCUUUACUCGUGAUUUUAUUUCUCAACUGUUCAGUAUUGGGUACACAACUUUUCUCAAACAUGAUAGCAGUACCCCUAGCUUUUUGGCAAGUAUUGACCCCUUCUAUCAAAAUCCUUACCCAUAAUUUUUCUCCUUUUUAUUUUCCCCAUGUACUUUAACAAUUCUUCUUCUCAAAUCAAAAAUCAUUGUUAACAUUGCAAUUACAGCUUCUCUUGUUUGCUGUGGUAGAACCAUUUGUAAAUCCAACUUUCAAAUCCUUGAUGAGAAUUUUUCUUCAUGGGUAAGGAGAAAUCCUUAGUAAACUUGAGUUUUUCUACUCAAGGCAUCCACUAUUAUAUUGGCUUUGCGUGGGUGAUAAUUUAUUCUACAAUCAUAGUCCCUUACUAAUUCGAGCUAUAUUCCUUGUCUCACACUUAGAUCUUUUGCUCGAAUAAGUAUUUUAAACUUUUAUGAGGUGUAUCAAUUCCACAUCUCGUUUCAGAAUACCAUUGUUGCUAGUUCCAAGUUAUGUUGAGCAAUUCAGUUCUUGUGGUCUAUGUUCUCAUGACCCAAUAACAAUAACUCUUUCACUUUGCAACAAUGCACAACCAAGUCCAUCUUUGAUACACAGGACCAAUUUUAUAUGGUCUUUCAACUUUGAGAAUUCGGCCAUAUUUUAAAAUAGCCUUUCAUCCAACAACAGAUGAGCAAUUUGAGAGAAAUCUUUAAACCUUAGAAGAUGUGACAUAGACUAUUGUACUAGAGCGAAGAAGUGGCGACCUUAGCAGUAGGGACACUGGCGAUCGUAAGAAAUUCUGGGUUCCAAAACUCUCUUUCCAAAAAUGAUUUUUCAGAAGGAGCGAAUUCCCCGCAAACAAGGCAGGAGACGACUAUCUCAAGGUGCAUCACGCGUACUCAGAAGCCGCAUUAUGCACUAGAUUGAAGGAUGAAUUGGGAAAACCUUUUGCUAGUAAUUGAAUUGGCCUACAAUUAUAGCUUUCGGGCAAUAAUUGAUAUGACACCAUAUGGAGCUUAUUGUGGAAAGAAAUAUUGAUCUCCACUCUAUUGACAUGAGGUAAGUGAAAGAAAAGUAACAGGACCUGAUGCGCUUGAAGAAAUGAUUACGCUUAUCCGACAAAUUCAACAACUGCUCAACGAACCUCAAGAGCGACAGAAAUUUUUUUUUGUAGAUACUCGUUGAUUUGAUUUGAAAUUUUUGAAAUAGGGGAUGAAGUUUUUCUCAGUGUUCCGCAUUCUAAGAAUGCACAAAUUCGAUGUGAAAGAGAAGUAUCUAGCAUUAUUCUCUGACGUAGUCAAAUUUCGAGGACGAAAUUUCUUUAAGGGGGAGAGGAUGUAACACCCAGCAUUUUCACUACAGUAUAUAUAUUAUUUUCUAUUAUCUAAAAGAAGAAAGAGAAGUAGAAUCACUGAGAUGAGAUGAGAUAUUAUUAUAAUACCUUGAGCUUUUAAUUCAAUGAUUGCAUAAUUUGAAUAAUUAAGUAUUCUUGCUUUCUUUAUUAUUUUCAUUCUUGGAAGCAAGUUUAUAAUUCCUAGUUAAAGGGAUUAUUUUAUUAUUUUUCAGAGAUGAGAUUGGUGAUAAAUACGAAAUAUUAUUAGUCGACUUAUUGCUCGGCUAAUUGAAGUGACGGAUGUUAUUUAAUUAUUUAUCUAUGAGCUUUCUUUUUUUUUAAUAGUGAUAGUUUGAGGAAAUUUAGUAUAUCGUGGACGGAGGGAGUAUUAUAUUUCAUUGGGUGUAUAAUAAUUUAUUAAUUUAGAUAGCUAUCAAAUACUACUUGAGCUUGGAGCACAAGUUUCGUGAGUCAUAUUAGUGUAGAGAAUUGCUUUUCUAAUUUAUUCUUAUUUUUAUUUGAUCUAAUUUGAGGGCCACAAAAUAAGGCUUAUAGGAAAAGCCAAGUUUUACCUCUUAUUAUUUAUUUCUUCUACAAACCUCAAAUGGGCCGAUCAAGUAAGGGAAAUGAGGUUUGAAUUAUAUUGCUCAUUUCUAUAAUUGGAUUUAAAUUUUUAAUGUUUGAGAUAAGCAUUUAUUUAUUGUAAAGUGUAUAUAUUAGUUUGAGGAGAUUCAUUUCCUUUUCUUCUCCCCAAAACAGUCGACCUUCUCCCCUCUCUCUUUAUGGAACCUCAGUUUAGUUUGCUUUCAACCUUCAAGAAGAUUCAGCCGCCACCUCUGCUCCGACCGCCGUCGGCUGCCGUCGAGUCCAAGUCCGACGUCUCGUCUGUUCUUCCCUGGUGCCCCUCGCACUACUCUCAUCUUCUCUCAAUUUAGCGAAGAACCCAAAUGAGAAGCCCUAAUUUCAAAAUCCGAAAUCGCCGUCACCCGAGCCCGAAAUUCGGCAAUACAGCAUCCUCCUCUUCGACGUGGUCGAAGUUCUCGCACCGGAAGUCCUCGCCGUUCCCCCUUCUUUUCCGGUGUGGAGCCCUAAUUCUUAGUAGAAGGAAAUUACUACUGUCGCGACUGGAAGGCCAACGAACGGCUGAGCUUCGCCCAUCUCUGCCUUGAAUCCAUGCUCGAGAAGGAGAGAAAGGAAAACGAGCCCUAAUUCUUUUCUACUCCCGCCGUCAUGGUUCGGCUGCCACCUCCGCCGUCUGUGGAAGACCGGCGAUUCAGCGGCGCCGCUCCAUUCACAACGCCGCUACUGCUGCUACACGAUCCCCUCCGAGGCAGCAAGCGCUGCUGUCAUCAUCGUCGUCUUGGCUCGACUGAACAGGGUCGCGUCCCUCGUCGUCGAAAAGUUAGUAUUCUACUUGUUAUUGUAGAAAGUGUUUGAUGUUGCUUGUGAUUUCUGAGUUCAUGCCAUAAUAAUCGAGGCAUAGGUGACUUCUCUCUAAGAUUCCUAAAGUGAGAUAUUAAACAAAAUGUUAUAUGUUUCUAAGUUAGUAAUUACUUUAAAUUAAGUAAAAUGAUGGCAGGAAUCAUAGCUUCAGCCCAAAGCUUCGAUUUUUGACCCUCCCUCAAGAACCCCAGAAUUUCAUCUUCUUUAUAUUUGUAUCAAUUGACUAUGUAUACAUGUCUAUAUGUAUGUGAAGAAUUGAUUGGGAUUUAUUUGGGUAUUUAUUCACAAGAAAACAUGAUUCCCUAAUAGUUUAGUUUAAGUGGAUUUGGGAGUUCUUGGAAUAAGCUAGCUACAUGUUUGAUGCUUGUGUAAUUGUACUCCUUGAAUUGUAAAAUGAGAUUAUAUGACAAUAGUUGGAGGAUAUCAAGCAUGCUACUAUAUGUUGAUGUGUUGAACAUGAAUUACGUUUAAGCUAAAGCAUGCUAAUGUGUAGUAAGAUGAUGUAUUUGAGUUACUAUAGCUUUUAUUUGAUAAAAAUAUGAGUUAUAUGUUGAGUUGAGAUGAAGAAGGUAUUGCUGUUGGUUUUGCUGUACAGGACAGUACCUUGUAAGGUAUUUUCGGGAGUGUUCCUGUGAUCCAAAUAACUUGAAUUUUACUGUAUAACUUCAUCAUGAGUAGUAGAUCUCUGCAAAUUUCAGCUAAAUCCGAGACCAAUAGACAUGUCAAACUAUUUUCUGAAAUGUACUGCGUGAAGCAGCGUAGUUCAGUGGCAGAUUCUACCUUUGGUGAUAUAACUUCUUAUACACUUGAGAUAUUGUAUUUUUGUAAAUUUCUAAGAAAUAUAGACGUUAAUAGCUUUCUAAAAAGGUAAAGCUCGUAUUUUUCCUUGAAGCGAUUGAUUUUAUAUGAUUUUCCAAAGUUAGGAUUCAAAUGUGUAUGUGUCUUGAUUAAACUUGUGAUUGGUAGUUAAUUGAGAUCCUACACUACUAAACUUGAAUUGAGGUUUUAUUGUUCUAACUACCUAUUGAGGAUUAUUGAUUACUAAAGCUUGUUAAUAUGAUAGUUGAUGGACAUAAUUAUGUUUAUAUGAUUAAUUACUUUGGGAUUUUGUGUUUUACAUGUAUGGUUAGUUGUAAACUGAUCUCUAUGGAAUGGAUUUGUUUACUUCUAAACUUUCUCAAGUAGAGGAAUUCCUAUAAGAUAGGAAUAUUAGUUUAUACUUUCUUAAAGUUCAUAAGAGUUAGUAUAUUGGUUAGUUUAGUUGAUUCAACCCUAGCUCUGCAGAAGAUUAAAAGUUUAUUGGGAUGUUAUUUAUAGCUAAUUCUUCUUAUCUAGUUAUCCAAUCUUAUUUUAGAAUCUUGCUAUUAUGAAGGUGACAGUAGCAAUGAUAGAUAAGUGAGCAAGAGUUUCUACAUCGUUAAGCGUAUCAGGUGGGCUUUCUAAACUCAUAAUUUGAAGUGCGCACUAUUUAAUUAUGUUAUUAUAUGAAUGAAGUUAUAUUAAAGUUAUUGACUUGCCAAAACUUUUAUGAGCUUGUAUGUUACCAUCUACGAGAGAUAGACGAUAUCGGCCCUAUGCUGAAGCGAGAUGUCAGUAAGGGUUUGUGCACAUAGUUGUGACCGUGAGUCAUCGAGCGGGUUGGCCGGUCACUGUGAUCGGGAGCCUUCGGGCCGAUCACUGUGUUUGAGAAGGAGGCCUACUUCUCAACACAAGGUUACAUGAUGCGUAGUUAUGGUACAUACAUGUUAAUUGUCUGCAGACGUAUAUGAUAUUAUGAUGAUAUAUAUAUAGAAGUUUUACAGUUUUGGCGUGCACAGGUUAUUUAAAUAAAACUCCUGUGUGAUGCUUGAGAUGGCAAGUUCAAUAUAUAGCUCUAAGAGCAAACUUUAAAGUUAUUUCGGCAUGUGACCAUUGAGUACCUUUUUAGUACUCAGCCCUGCAUAUGUUUCUAAAUGUGCAGGUUAAGCUGUGAUGCAGAUGGAGGCGAGCAGAGCAAAGCUUUUGAAGUAUAAGUAUUAAAUUAGGCUCAGGAUUUCAUGUCUUCAUACAUGUAAUCCACUUAAGUUAUUCCGCUGCAACACUUAGUGUAUUUUACUUUAUUGAUGUGUUGUACAGAUUUUAAACCAAUAGCUUCGAAAAUUAUGUCACUUGAAAAUUUGACAACUUGUCGUUAUGUAUUGUGAGUUGUCUGCUUUGAGUUUUAGAAAAGAUUGUUUAUGAUUACCAAAUAUUUAGGUAAAUUAUUGUUUAAGCAAGAUGAUUAUUUUUAUUGAAACCUCUUUUAUUUUCCAUUUUCUUUUUCCAUUUCCCCAGUCACAUUUUCCCCGGCUUAACUGUUGUUAGCUUAGGUCGGGCUGUGACAGAGUGGUAUCAGAGCAG